AACCCUUUUAGGUAGGAGGUACACAAACACUGCGUAAUACUAAAGAGUGUAUGAAUACAUAAUGUCCCCAUUAGGUAGGUGGUACACAAACACUACGUAAAACUAAAGAGUGUGUAAAGAUAUAACCUCCCUAUUAAAUGGUGCACUGCAACUACGUAAAACUACGUUGCGUAAAAACACAUUCCCUAUUAAAUGAUACGCAAACCCUGCGAAGAAUUGAAGAGAGUGUGUGAAGACACAAUAUCCCCAUUAAGUAGGUGGUACACAAACAUUGCGUAAUACUAAAGAGUGUAUGAAUACAUAAUGUCCCCAUUAGGUAGGAGGUGCAUAAACACUGCGUAAAACUACAGAGUGUGUGAAGAUAUAAUUUCCCUAUUAAAUGGUGCACUAAAUGUACGGAAAACUAAGGAGUGUGUGAAGACACAAAAACCCUUUUAGGUAGGAGGUACACAAACACUGCGUAAAACUAAAGAGUGUGUGAAAAUCUGAAUUCCCUAUUAAAUGGUGCACUAAAUCUAUGUAAAACUACGUUGCGUAAAAACACAUACGCAAACAGUGCGAAGAAUUGAAGAGAGUGUGUGAAGACACAAUAACCCUUUUAGGUAGAAGGUACACAAACACUGCGUAAAACUAAAGAGUGUGUGAAGACACAAAAACCCUUUUAGGUAGGAGGUACACAAACACUGCGUAAUACUAAAGAGUGUAUGAAUACAUAAUGUCCCCAUUAGGUAGGAGGUGCAUAAACACUGCGUAAAACUCAAGAGUGUGUGAAUAUAUGAUUUCCCUAUUAAAUAGUGCACUAAAUCUACGUAAAACUACGUGCGUAAAAACACAUUCCCCAUUAAAUGAUACGCAAACACUGCGAAGAAUUGAAGAGAGUGUGUGAAGACACAAAAGCCCUUUUAGGUAGGAGGUACACAAACACUGCGAAAACUAAAGAGUGUGUGAAAAUCUGAUUUCCCUAUUAAAUGGUGCACUAAAUCUACGUAAAACUACGUUGCGUGAAAACACAUUCCCUAUUAAAUGAUACGCAAACCCUGCGAAGAAUUGAAGAGAGUGUGUGAAGACACAAAAGCCCUUUUAGGUAGGAGGUACACAAACACUGCGUAAUACUAAAGAGUGUAUGAAUACAUAAUGUCCCCAUUAGGUAGGAGGUGCAUAAACACUGCGUAAAACUACAGAGUGUGUGAAGAUAUAAUUUCCCUAUUAAAUGGUGCACUAAAUCUACGUAAGACUAAGGAGUGUGUGAAGACACAUUUUCCCUAUUAGGUAGGUGGUACACUGUAACUACGUAAACCUAGAGUGUGUGAAGACACAAUAACCCUUUUAGGUAGGAGGUACCCAAACACUGCGAAAACUAAAGAGUGUGUAAAGAUAUAAUUUCCCUAUUAAAUGGUGUACUAAGACUACGUAAGACUAAGGAGUGUGUGAAGACACAUUUCCCCUAUUAGGUAGGUGGUACACUGUAACUACGUAAACCUAGAGUGUGUGAAGACACAAAAACCCUUUUAGGUAGGAGAUACACAAACACUGCGAAAACUAAAGAGUGUGUGAAGAUAUGAUUUCCCUAUUAAAUGGUGCACUAAAUCUACGUAAAACUACGUUGCGUAAAAACACAUUCCCAUUAAAUGAUACGCAAACAGUGCGAAGAAUUGAAGAGAGUGUGUGAAGACACAAAAACCCUUUUAGGUAGGAGAUACACAAACACUGCGUAAAACUAAAGAGUGUGUGAAGAUAUGAUUUCCCUAUUAAAUGGUGCACUAAAUCUACGUAAAACUACGUUGCGUAAAAACACAUUCCCUAUUAAAUGAUACGCAAACAGUGCGAAGAAUUGAAGAGAGUGUGUGAAGACACAAUAACCCUUUUAGGUAGAAGGUACACAAACACUGCGUAAAACUAAAGUGUGUGUGAAGAUAUGAUUUCCUUAUUAAAUGGUACACAUAAACGUCAAAUUAAGGAGUGUGUGAAGACACAAAAACCCUUUUAGGUAGGAGGUACACAAACACUGCGUAAUACUAAAGAGUGUAUGAAUACAUAAUGUCCCCAUUAGGUAGGAGGUGCAUAAACACUGCGUAAAACUCAAGAGUGUGUGAAUAUAUGAUUUCCCUAUUAAAUAGUGCACUAAAUCUACGUAAAACUACGUGCGUAAAAACACAUUCCCCAUUAAAUGAUACGCAAACACUGCGAAGAAUUGAAGAGAGUGUGUGAAGACACAAUAACCCUUUUAGGUAGGAGAUACACAAACACUGCGAAUAACUAAAGAGUGUAUAAAGAUAUAACUUCCCUAUUAAAUGGUACACAUAAACUACGUCAAAUUAAGGAGUGUGUGAAGACACAAUAUCCCUAUUAGGUAGUAGGUACACAAACACUGCGAAUAACUAAAGAGUGUAUAAAGAUAUAACUUCCCUAUUAAAUGGUACACAUAAACUACGUCAAAUUAAGGAGUGUGUGAAGACACAAUAUCCCUAUUAGGUAGUAGGUACACAAACACUGCGAAUAACUAAAGAGUGUAUAAAGAUAUAACUUCCCUAUUAAAUGGUACACAUAAACUACGUCAAAUUAAGGAGUGUGUGAAGACACAAUAACCCUUUUAGGUAGAAGGUACACAAACACUGCGUAAUACUAAAGAGUGUAUGAAUACAUAAUGUCUCCAUUAGGUAGGAGGUGCAUAAACACUGCGUAAAUCUACAGAGUGUGUGAAUAUAUGAUUUCCCUAUUAAAUAGUGCACUAAAUCUACGUAAAACUACGUGCGUAAAAACACAUUCCCCAUUAAAUGAUACGCAAACACUGCGAAGAAUUGAAGAGAGUGUGUGAAGACACAAUAUCCCUAUUAAGUAGGUGGUACACAAACAUUGCGUAAUACUAAAGAGUGUGUGAAUACAUAAUGUCCCCAUUAGGUAGGUGGUACACAAACACUGCGAAUAACUAAAGAGUGUAUAAAGAUAUAACUUCCCUAUUAAAUGGUACACAUAAACUACGUCAAAUUAAGGAGUGUGUGAAGACACAAUAUCCCUAUUAGGUAGUAGGUACACAAACACUGCGUAAAACUAAAGAGUUUGUAAAGAUAUAACUUCCCUAUUAAAUGGUACACAUAAACGUCAAAUUAAGGAGUGUGUGAAGACACAAAAACCCUUUUAGGUAGGAGGUACACAAACACUGCGUAAAACUCAAGAGUGUGUGAAGAUAUGAUUUCCCUAUUAAAUGGUGCACUAAAUCUACGUAAAACUACGUUGCGUGAAAACACAUUCCCUAUUAAAUGAUACGCAAACCCUGCGAAGAAUUGAAGAGAGUGUGUGAAGACACAAUAUCCCCAUUAAGUAGGUGGUACACAAACAUUGCGUAAUACUAAAUAGUGUAUGAAUACAUAAUGUCCCCAUUAGGUAGGAGGUACACAAACACUGCGUAAAACUAAAGAGUGUAUGAAUACAUAAUGUCCCCAUUAGGUAGGAGGUGCAUGAACACUGCGUAAAACUCAAGAGUGUGUGAAGAUAUAAUUUCCCUAUUAAAUAGUGCACUAAAUCUACGGAAAACUAAGGAGUGUGUGAAGACACAAAAACCCUUUUAGGUAGGAGGUACACAAACACUGCGUAAAACUAAAGAGUGUGUGAAGACACAAUAUCCCCAUUAAGUAGGUGGUACACAAACAUUGCGUAAUACUAAAGAGUGUAUGAAUACAUAAUGUCCCCAUUAGGUAGGAGGUGCAUAAACACUGCGUAAAACUACAGAGUGUGUGAAGAUAUAAUUUCCCUAUUAAAUGGUGCACUAAAUGUACGGAAAACUAAGGAGUGUGUGAAGACACAAAAACCCUUUUAGGUAGGAGGUACACAAACACUACGUAAAACUAAAGAGUGUGUGAAGAUAUAAUUUCCCUAUUAAAUGGUGCACUAAAUCUACGUAAAACUACGUUGCGUGAAAACACAUUCCCUAUUAAAUGAUACGCAAACCCUGCGAAGAAUUGAAGAGAGUGUGUGAAGACACAAUAUCCCCAUUAAGUAGGUGGUACACAAACAUUGCGUAAUACUAAAUAGUGUAUGAAUACAUAAUGUCCCCAUUAGGUAGGUGGUACACAAACACUGCGAAUAACUAAAGAGUGUAUAAAGAUAUAACUUCCCUAUUAAAUGGUACACAUAAACUACGUCAAAUUAAGGAGUGUGUGAAGACACAAUAUCCCUAUUAGGUAGUAGGUACACAAACACUGCGUAAAACUAAAGAGUUUGUAAAGAUAUAACUUCCCUAUUAAAUGGUACACAUAAACGUCAAAUUAAGGAGUGUGUGAAGACACAAAAACCCUUUUAGGUAGGAGGUACACAAACACUACGUAAAACUAAAGAGUGUGUGAAGAUAUAAUUUCCCUAUUAAAUGGUGCACUAAAUCUACGUAAAACUACGUUGCGUGAAAACACAUUCCCUAUUAAAUGAUACGCAAACCCUGCGAAGAAUUGAAGAGAGUGUGUGAAGACACAAUAUCCCCAUUAAGUAGGUGGUACACAAACAUUGCGUAAUACUAAAUAGUGUAUGAAUACAUAAUGUCCCCAUUAGGUAGGAGGUGCAUAAACACUGCGUAAAACUACAGAGUGUGUGAAGAUAUAAUUUCCCUAUUAAAUGGUGCACUAAAUGUACGGAAAACUAAGGAGUGUGUGAAGACACAAAAACCCUUUUAGGUAGGAGGUACACAAACACUGCGUAAAACUAAAGAGUGUGUGAAGAUAUAAUUUCCCUAUUAAAUGGUGCACUAAAUCUACG
RNAcentral lists this small RNA (4743 nucleotides) under Drosophila mojavensis. RNAcentral's name for it is "GI25890". The record is from RNAcentral. Lineage: Eukaryota; Metazoa; Arthropoda; Insecta; Diptera; Drosophilidae.